GACAGAGGGUGCAAACGUUGCUCGGAAUUACUGGGCGUAAAGCGCGUGUAGGUGGAUUGGUGUGUCAGAUGUGAAAUCCCUGGGCUCAACCCAGGAACUGCACCUGAAACUACCAGUCUUGAGUGGUGGAGAGGGAAGUGGAAUUCCUGGUGUAGAGGUGAAAUUCGUAGAUAUCAGGAGGAACACCAGUGGCGAAGGCGGCUUCCUGGACACCAACUGACGCUGAGACGCGAAAGCGUGGGAGCAAACAGG
This 252-nucleotide ribosomal RNA is filed under the name uncultured bacterium. RNAcentral's name for it is "partial 16S ribosomal RNA". It matches the Rfam family "Bacterial small subunit ribosomal RNA", at positions 524 to 776 of the family's 1533-position model. The record is from RNAcentral.